This 322-nucleotide ribosomal RNA is filed under the name uncultured Coriobacteriales bacterium. Its description in RNAcentral is "partial 16S ribosomal RNA". Lineage: Bacteria; Bacillati; Actinomycetota; Coriobacteriia; Coriobacteriales. The record is from RNAcentral.
GGAGUAUGGACCGUGUCUCAGUUCCAUUGUGACCGUUCAUCCUCUCAGACCGGCUACCGAUCGUCGCCUUGGUAGGCUCUUACCCCACCAACUAGCUAAUCGGACGCAGGCUCCUCGCAAAGCGAUAAAUCUUUAAUGCAAUCGUCAUGCGACGACUGCACAACAUUCGGUAUUAGCGUCCCUUUCGGAACGUUGUCCCCAACUUUGCGGCAGAUUACCUGCGCUUUACUCACCCGUUCGCCACUAGCACCGAAGUGCCCGUUCGACUUGCAUGUGUUAAGCACGCCGCCAGCGUUCGUCCUGAGCCACUGAUCAAACUACU